GAACGUGCCCUUCCCCAUGGAAUAGCCACUGGAAACGGUGAGUAAUACCAUAUACGCCCUUCGGGGGAAAGAUUUAUCGGAGAAGGAUCGGCCCGCGUUAGAUUAGGUAGUUGGUGGGGUAAUGGCCUACCAAGCCUACGAUCUAUAGCUGGUUUUAGAGGAUGAUCAGCCACACUGGGACUGAGACACGGCCCAGACUCCUACGGGAGGCAGCAGUGGGGAAACUUAGACAAUGGGCGCAAGCCUGAUCUAGCCAUGCCGCGUGAGUGAUGAAGGCCUUAGGGUCGUAAGGCUCUUUCGCCAGAGAUGAUAAUGACAGUAUCUGGUAAAGAAACCCCGGCUAACUCCGUGCCAGCAGCCGCGGUAAUACGGAGGGGGUUAGCGUUGUUCGGAAUUACUGGGCGUAAAGCGCACGUAGGCGGAUUAGAAAGUUGGGGGUGAAAUCCCGGGGCUCAACCUCGGAACGGCCUCCAAAACUCCUAGUCUAGAGUUCGAGAGAGGUGAGUGGAAUUCCAAGUGUAGAGGUGAAAUUCGUAGAUAUUUGGAGGAACACCAGUGGCGAAGGCGGCUCACUGGCUCGAUACUGACGCUGAGGUGCGAAAGUGUGGGGAGCAAACAGGAUUAGAUACCCUGGUAG
RNAcentral lists this ribosomal RNA (637 nucleotides) under uncultured Phaeobacter sp. Its description in RNAcentral is "bacterial SSU rRNA". It matches the Rfam family "Bacterial small subunit ribosomal RNA", at positions 122 to 793 of the family's 1533-position model. Lineage: Bacteria; Pseudomonadati; Pseudomonadota; Alphaproteobacteria; Rhodobacterales; Roseobacteraceae. The record is from RNAcentral.